UUGAGCUAACCGAUACUAAUGAACCGUGAGGCUUAACCUUACAACGCCGAAG
This 52-nucleotide ribosomal RNA is filed under the name Citrobacter freundii. RNAcentral describes it as "partial 23S ribosomal RNA". Lineage: Bacteria; Pseudomonadati; Pseudomonadota; Gammaproteobacteria; Enterobacterales; Enterobacteriaceae. The record is from RNAcentral. RNAcentral also lists the same sequence under 2 other names.